RNAcentral lists this ribosomal RNA (425 nucleotides) under uncultured Oscillospiraceae bacterium. Its description in RNAcentral is "bacterial SSU rRNA". It matches the Rfam family "Bacterial small subunit ribosomal RNA", at positions 355 to 794 of the family's 1533-position model. Lineage: Bacteria; Bacillati; Bacillota; Clostridia; Eubacteriales; Oscillospiraceae. The record is from RNAcentral.
UGGGGAAUAUUGGGCAAUGGGGCGAAAGCCUGACCCAGCGACGCCGCGUGAGGGAAGAAGGUCUUCGGAUUGUAAGCCUUAAACAACAGGGACGAAGAAAGUGACGGUACCUGUUAGGAAGCCACGGCUAACUACGUGCCAGCAGCCGCGGUAAUACGUAGGUGGCAAGCGUUAUCCGGAUUUACUGGGUGUAAAGGGUGUGUAGGCGGAGAGGCAAGUCAGAUGUGAAAAUUACGGGCUCAACCCGUAACCUGCAUUUGAAACUGUUUCCCUUGAGUGUCGGAGAGGUAAAUGGAAUUCCCAGUGUAGCGGUGAAAUGCGUAGAUAUUGGGAGGAACACCGGUGGCGAAGGCGGUUUACUGGACGACAACUGACGCUGAGACACGAAAGUGUGGGGAGCAAACAGGAUUAGAUACCCUGGUAGU